This 213-nucleotide ribosomal RNA is filed under the name uncultured bacterium. RNAcentral describes it as "partial 16S ribosomal RNA". It matches the Rfam family "Bacterial small subunit ribosomal RNA", at positions 524 to 736 of the family's 1533-position model. The record is from RNAcentral.
GACAGAGGCCCCAAGCGUUAGGCGGAAUCACUGGGCUUAAAGCGUGUGUAGGCGGACGCCUAAGUGUCUUGUGAAAUCCCACGGCUCACCCGUGGAACUGCUGGGCAUACUGGGCGUCUUGGGCCAACUAGGGGCAGCCGGAACAAGCGGUGGAGCGGUGAAAUGCGUAGAUAUCGCUUGGAACGUCGAAGGUGAAAACAGGCUGCUGGGGUU